AUUGAACGCUGGCGGCAGGCCUAACACAUGCAAGUCGAGCGGAUGAAGGGAGCUUGCUCCUGGAUUCAGCGGCGGACGGGUGAGUAAUGCCUAGGAAUCUGCCUGGUAGUGGGGGAUAACGUCCGGAAACGGGCGCUAAUACCGCAUACGUCCUGAGGGAGAAAGUGGGGGAUCUUCGGACCUCACGCUAUCAGAUGAGCCUAGGUCGGAUUAGCUAGUUGGUGGGGUAAAGGCCUACCAAGGCGACGAUCCGUAACUGGUCUGAGAGGAUGAUCAGUCACACUGGAACUGAGACACGGUCCGAACUCCUACGGGAGGCAGCAGUGGGGAAUAUUGGACAAUGGGCGAAAGCCUGAUCCAGCAAUGCCGCGUGUGUGAAGAAGGUCUUCGGAUUGUAAAGCACUUUAAGUUGGGAGGAAGGGCAGUAAGUUAAUACCUUGCUGUUUUGACGGUACCAACAGAAUAAGCACCGGCUAACUUCGUG
RNAcentral lists this ribosomal RNA (484 nucleotides) under uncultured bacterium. Its description in RNAcentral is "partial 16S ribosomal RNA". It matches the Rfam family "Bacterial small subunit ribosomal RNA", at positions 30 to 507 of the family's 1533-position model. The record is from RNAcentral.